GGUGAGAUGGCUGAGCUGGCUGAAGGCGCACGCCUGGAAAGUGUGUUUAGGUUAACCCCUAACGAGGGUUCGAAUCCCUCUCUCACCGCCA
RNAcentral lists this transfer RNA (91 nucleotides) under Planctobacterium marinum. Its description in RNAcentral is "tRNA-Ser". It matches the Rfam family "tRNA". Rfam says of the family: Transfer RNA (tRNA) molecules are approximately 80 nucleotides in length. Their secondary structure includes four short double-helical elements and three loops (D, anti-codon, and T loops). RNAcentral also lists the same sequence under 4 other names. The record is from RNAcentral. Lineage: Bacteria; Pseudomonadati; Pseudomonadota; Gammaproteobacteria; Alteromonadales; Alteromonadaceae.